UGCAGAUGUCACAAGGUGACGAUCUUUAGGGGCGGAACCAAAAUUCGGGAAGUUUGGUUCCGCCCGGAAGUGUUUCCGCCCGGACCGGAAAAACAGAACACCGGAAUUUCCGGUAGCGCCGUAAGAAGGAAAAUCAGGGAAUUCGAUGCACCUGUGCCUAGUUAGGGACAGCGGUUGGUGAUUGGAGGAUACGCUGGACAAGGCAGUACUUAAGGCCAAGUUAUUUCACAGUCUGGGCGCUCUUUCUGGCUGGAAUUGUAUGAUUGUGAAGACAUCGCGAACCUUAAAGGUUGAGAAGUGAACGGAUUAUACGGCGAACUGAGAUGACGUGAAAAAGGGGAUUGGAAGCGGCAUUGAUGUGAGUACUAAGAGCCAGUCGAAAGUGCCCUGUAUAUUGACCUGGCGUUGUGUAGAUCUCUCCAGGAGGAGGAGGGCGGCCCUACCCCUAAUAUAGUGUGGUGGGAGAGCCGAAGGAAUACUUAUUGAAGUAGUCACAACGACGACAUCACUAGCUAGGCCGCAUAUUCCAUCGCCAGAUCCGAACCAAGCGAAGUGAAGGAAGACGGGUGUCCUUUUCGUACACUGAGUGUGGUGGGUGAGUCUUCAUGCUGUGAAAACCUAUAAUUUUGACGUGGUGCUGUAUAUUGCUGUGGGCUGCUGUGUAUUGCCGUGUGUCCUGUCAGAUAAACCCCCGCCUUCACGCACUUCGUCGCGGGAGGACAAGGAGACUGCUGGUCCUAGCCUAGUUCAGUACAGCAUAUGUUGUGAGCGUGCUUCAGAUCUCCGGAGAUAGCACAGUACGCUGUGUCCAGCCCAGAGGUGAAAGCCAUCCAAAGCAGAGUAACUGUGCUUUGCGUCCAAGUUGAUACCUGUGGAGAGGAAAGGAAAGAGAGAGUGAGUAACACAAGGAGAAACAGAGGAACCCUGUACUUACAGUACGCUGUGUCCAGCCCAGAGGUGAGAGCCAUUCAAAGCAAACUAACUGUGCUAGUGUGCCCAAGUUGAUGCCUGUGGAGAGAAAAAGGAGAGAGAGUGAAUAACACGAGGAGGAAUAGAGCGAACCCUGUACUUACAGUACGCUGUGUCCAGCCCAGAGGUGAGAGCCAUUCAAAGCAAACUAACUGUGCUAUUGUGCCCAAGUUGAUACCUGUGGAGAGAAAAAGGAGAGA
This is a long non-coding RNA of Cyprinus carpio carpio, 1169 nucleotides long. Lineage: Eukaryota; Metazoa; Chordata; Actinopteri; Cypriniformes; Cyprinidae. The record is from Ensembl.